CCUGAGAAACCCAAAAGAUCGAAUGGGGAGAUUCAUCGUCAGCUCAUUUGGUAUAUAURUUGUUAUGAUGCGGGUUACUACUUGUAGUAUUGCCUGCACAUUCUUGUAUAUUUARUUGCAAGAUGUUGUCGGCGUGCACUUCUCCCCUAGUAGGACGUCGCGACCCGNNGGNUGUCGGUUUACGGCCCAAGUGAUAGCCUUUAAUGUAAUUUAAAAAUCAUUGAAGAUCCUUGGUGUUUUCUAACCGGCUACUUGGCGGUAUUCGCACGGUAUUUAGCCGCUAAUUUAUUAGCGUUCAUAUCCGUCACAAGCGAGGCCAAUUUUUACUACUAAUAGUACGGACCUAGUGCCGUCGUUGGUAUUGGCCAGCUGUUGGUUGUACGGUAUUCUAGAACUGGCUAAAAAAUUAAUAAUUACCGGUCGGCGAUGCUACUGCUUUGGGUACUUUCAGGACCCGUCUUGAAACACGGA
RNAcentral lists this ribosomal RNA (471 nucleotides) under Aleiodes (Pholichora) sp. AZR-2008. Its description in RNAcentral is "eukaryotic LSU rRNA". Lineage: Eukaryota; Metazoa; Arthropoda; Insecta; Hymenoptera; Braconidae. The record is from RNAcentral. RNAcentral also lists the same sequence under 1 other name.